GAUGAACGCUGGCGGCGUGCUUAACACAUGCAAGUCGAACGGUGAAGCUCCAGCUUGCUGGCGUGGAUCAGUGGCGAACGGGUGAGUAACACGUGAGCAACCUGCCCCUGACUCUGGGAUAACAGCCGGAAACGGCUGCUAAUACCGGAUAUGCACCAUGAACGCAUGUUCUGUGGUGGGAAAGAUUUUUCGGUUGGGGAUGGGCUCGCGGCCUAUCAGCUUGUUGGUGAGGUAAUGGCUCACCAAGGCGUCGACGGGUAGCCGGCCUGAGAUGGUGACCGGCCACACUGGGACUGAGACACGGCCCAGACUCCUACGGGAGGCAGCAGUGGGGAAUAUUGCACAAUGGGCGAAAGCCUGAUGCAGCAACGCCGCGUGAGGGAUGACGGCCUUCGGGUUGUAAACCUCUUUUAGCAGGGAAGAAGCGAGAGUGACGGUACCUGCAGAAAAAGCGCCGGCUAACUACGUG
RNAcentral lists this ribosomal RNA (469 nucleotides) under uncultured bacterium. RNAcentral's name for it is "partial 16S ribosomal RNA". It matches the Rfam family "Bacterial small subunit ribosomal RNA", at positions 28 to 507 of the family's 1533-position model. The record is from RNAcentral.